This 1196-nucleotide ribosomal RNA is filed under the name Staphylococcus sp. RNAcentral describes it as "bacterial SSU rRNA". It matches the Rfam family "Bacterial small subunit ribosomal RNA", at positions 328 to 1505 of the family's 1533-position model. Lineage: Bacteria; Bacillati; Bacillota; Bacilli; Caryophanales; Staphylococcaceae. The record is from RNAcentral.
GUUCACGACGUCCUCCGGCAGGCCGGCUGUAGGGAUCUCGCAAUGGGCGAAAGCUGACCGGAGCAACGACGGGUGAAGUGAAUGAAGGUCUUCGGAUCGUAAAACUCUGUUAUCAAGGAAGAACAAAUGGGUAAGUAACUGGUGCACAUCUUGACGGGUACCUGAUCCAGAAGCCACGGCUAACUACGUGCCAGCAGCCGCGGUAAUACGUAGGUUGGCAAGCGUUAUCCCGGAAUUAUUUGGGCGUAAAGCGCGCGUAGGGCGGUUUUUUAAGUCUGAUGUGAAAGCCCCACGGCUCAACCGUGGAGGGUCAUUGGAAACUGGAAAACUUGAGUGCAGAAGAGGAAAGUGGAAUUCCAUGUGUAGCGGUGAAAUGCGCAGAGAUAUGGAGGAACACCAGUGGCGAAGGCGACUUUCUGGUCUGUAACUGACGCUGAUGUGCGAAAGCGUGGGGAUCAAACAGGAUUAGAUACCCUGGUAGUCCACGCCGUAAACGAUGAGUGCUAAGUGUUAGGGGGUUUCCGCCCCUUAGUGCUGCAGCUAACGCAUUAAGCACUCCGCCUGGGGAGUACGACCGCAAGGUUGAAACUCAAAGGAAUUGACGGGGACCCGCACAAGCGGUGGAGCAUGUGGUUUAAUUCGAAGCAACGCGAAGAACCUUACCAAAUCUUGACAUCCUUUGACCGCUCUAGAGAUAGAGUCUUCCCCUUCGGGGGACAAAGUGACAGGUGGUGCAUGGUUGUCGUCAGCUCGUGUCGUGAGAUGUUGGGUUAAGUCCCGCAACGAGCGCAACCCUUAAGCUUAGUUGCCAUCAUUAAGUUGGGCACUCUAAGUUGACUGCCGGUGACAAACCGGAGGAAGGUGGGGAUGACGUCAAAUCAUCAUGCCCCUUAUGAUUUGGGCUACACACGUGCUACAAUGGACAAUACAAAGGGCAGCUAAACCGCGAGGUCAAGCAAAUCCCAUAAAGUUGUUCUCAGUUCGGAUUGUAGUCUGCAACUCGACUACAUGAAGCUGGAAUCGCUAGUAAUCGUAGAUCAGCAUGCUACGGUGAAUACGUUCCCGGGUCUUGUACACACCGCCCGUCACACCACGAGAGUUUGUAACACCCGAAGCCGGUGGAGUAACCAUUUAUGGAGCUAGCCGUCGAAGGUGGGACAAAUGAUUGGGGUGAAGUCGUAACAAGAGUCUACCCG